RNAcentral lists this ribosomal RNA (253 nucleotides) under uncultured bacterium. RNAcentral's name for it is "partial 16S ribosomal RNA". It matches the Rfam family "Bacterial small subunit ribosomal RNA", at positions 524 to 776 of the family's 1533-position model. The record is from RNAcentral.
UACAGAGGGUGCGAGCGUUAAUCGGAAUUACUGGGCGUAAAGCGUGCGUAGACGGUUAUUUAAGUCGGGUGUGAAAGCCCCGGGCUCAACCUGGGAAUUGCAUUCGAGACUGAAUAGCUAGGGUACGGUAGAGGGAAGCGGAAUUUCCGGUGUAGCGGUGAAAUGCGUAGAUAUCGGAAGGAACAUCAGUGGCGAAAGCGGCUUCCUGGACCAGUACUGACGUUCAGGCACGAAAGCGUGGGGAGCAAACAGG